This 468-nucleotide ribosomal RNA is filed under the name uncultured bacterium. Its description in RNAcentral is "partial 16S ribosomal RNA". It matches the Rfam family "Bacterial small subunit ribosomal RNA", at positions 28 to 507 of the family's 1533-position model. The record is from RNAcentral.
GACGAACGCUGGCGGCGUGCUUAACACAUGCAAGUCGAACGGAAAGGCCCUGCUUUUGUGGGGUGCUCGAGUGGCGAACGGGUGAGUAACACGUGAGUAACCUGCCCUUGACUUUGGGAUAACUUCAGGAAACUGGGGCUAAUACCGGAUAGGAGCUCCUGCUGCAUGGUGGGGGUUGGAAAGUUUCGGCGGUUGGGGAUGGACUCGCGGCUUAUCAGCUUGUUGGUGGGGUAGUGGCUUACCAAGGCUUUGACGGGUAGCCGGCCUGAGAGGGUGACCGGCCACAUUGGGACUGAGAUACGGCCCAGACUCCUACGGGAGGCAGCAGUGGGGAAUAUUGCGCAAUGGGCGGAAGCCUGAUGCAGCAACGCCGCGUGCGGGAUGACGGCCUUCGGGUUGUAAACCGCUUUCGCCUGUGACGGAGCGUGAGUGACGGUAAUGGGUAAAGAAGCACCGGCUAACUACGUG